AGCAUUCUCUGGUGUUGAAGGCCCUGCAAAGCAGCAUCGCGGUGGCGGAGCGUCGUUUGCGACGCCCAACACACAAAACAAGCGGUGAGUGCUUUGGGGUGGGGUGACUGCGUACCUUUUGUAUAAUGGGUCAGCGACUUAUAUUCUGUAGCAAGGUUAACCGAAUAGGGGAGCCGGAGGGAAACCGAGUCUUAAUUGGGCGUUAAGUUGCAGGGUAUAGACCCGAAACCCGGUGAUCUAGCCAUGGGCAGGUUGAAGGUUGGGUAACACUAACUGGAGGACCGAACCGACUAAUGUUGAAAAAUUAGCGGAUGACCUGUGGCUGGGGGUGAAAGGCCAAUCAAACCGGGAGAUAGCUGGUUCUCCCCGAAAGCUAUUUAGGUAGCGCCUCGUGAAUUCAUCUCCGGGGGUAGAGCACUGUUUCGGCUAGGGGGCCAUCCCGGCUUACCAACCCGAUGCAAACUGCGAAUACCGGAGAAUGUUAUCACGGGAGACACACGGCGGGUGCUAACGUCCGUCGUGAAGAGGGAAACAACCCAGACCGCCAGCUAAGGUCCCAAAGUCAUGGUUAAGUGGGAAACGAUGUGGGAAGGCCCAGACAGCCAGGAUGUUGGCUUAGAAGCAGCCAUCAUUUAAAGAAAGCGUAAUAGCUCACUGGUCGAGUCGGCCUGCGCGGAAGAUGUAACGGGGCUAAACCAUGCACCGAAGCUGCGGCAGCGAACGUAUCACUUAAAGCGAUUCAGCGGGUUACGAUUGACGGAGCGAAGCGACGUCAAAGCGUAUACAAAGUCGAGUCGGUUUAAGGAUACGUU
RNAcentral lists this ribosomal RNA (812 nucleotides) under Salmonella enterica subsp. enterica serovar Agona. RNAcentral's name for it is "partial 23S ribosomal RNA". It matches the Rfam family "Bacterial large subunit ribosomal RNA", at positions 566 to 1298 of the family's 2925-position model. The record is from RNAcentral. Lineage: Bacteria; Pseudomonadati; Pseudomonadota; Gammaproteobacteria; Enterobacterales; Enterobacteriaceae.